RNAcentral lists this ribosomal RNA (219 nucleotides) under uncultured bacterium. RNAcentral describes it as "partial 16S ribosomal RNA". It matches the Rfam family "Bacterial small subunit ribosomal RNA", at positions 524 to 731 of the family's 1533-position model. The record is from RNAcentral.
UACGAAGGGGGGCUAGCGUUGCUCGGAAUCACUGGGCGUAAAGGGUGCGUAGGCGGGUCUUUAAGUCAGGGGUGAAAUCCUGGAGCUCAACUCCAGAACUGCCUUUUGAUACUGAGGAUCUUUGAGUUCGGGGAGAGGUGAGUGGAAACUGCGAGUGUAGAGGUGAAAAUUCGUAGAUAUUUCGCAAAGAACACCAGUGGGCGAAAGGGCGGCUCACUG